AGAGAAGGCCCUUCUCCCUUUAGCCACCCUCUGUAUUUCCUUCAGAAGGGGUUCUCUGAGAAGGACUCCAGAAGAUGAUCUUAGGGCCAGUGUGCACAUGUAUGGAAAGAGAUGCUCCUUUAGAUAACCUGGCCCCAAGCCAUUUAGGGCUUUAAAUACUAGUGUUAACACGUUGAAUUGGAUAUCAAUCGGUAGCCAAUUAAGUUGACAGAGGGCUGGCAUUAUAUAUUCGUAUGGGCCAGUCCUCAUCAGCAGCCUCAGUGCCCUAUUCUGGACCAAUUGAAGUUUCUGGUCCAUCUCCAAAAGUAGCUCAGCAUAGGGAGUGUUACAUAAUCCAGACAAGAGGUUACCAGAGCAUGAGUUACUGUUGCACGGAAAUGGCCUUUUCCUCUUCCAUUCCUCUCACUCAGGAGGACAGCUGAACAAAGAGUGCUGUGGGAACAUAUCGCCAGCAUUUGCCCAGCAAAGGACUGAGCCUGCCCAGCGCUUUCCAGUUGCUUUGGCUACUCCACAUUUACAUGCAUAGGCUCACAGAUCUGGCGGGUCAGUGGAGGCAUCUAGUCCAGCCACAUGGCUCACAAAACUAUUUUGCACCAGGUCUUCCCAUAGGCAGUAGGGCAUAUUGCAAGACCUUUUUCAUGCCGCUAGGAUGUGACCUCUCCCUAGUAAACAGGCCUGGCUGCCCUCGCCCCUUUCGCACGGCACCGUGGCAUGCUAGGUCAGGACAAAUGAAGAUGCCAGGAACCCAUGCCUUGCACAAUCGACCUAUAUAUGCGGAAGGCUCCCCAGCUUUGGUUAGGGUGGAGUAAUACGUAACUACCCUAUGCAAAAAGAAAGGAAAGUGACAGUGUCGUCAAUUACUUUUGAAUGCUUGUCAAAGGUGCCUUUAAUGCAGGCUAUCUAGAAAGCUCAUCAGCCCAAAUGUUUCUUGGGAAGUGCAGUUGCCGUGCCUUGAAGUGUGAGAGCUAAUUGGCUCUUGAAGGAAAGCCCCUUUCAUUUCCUCCGUGACUUGCAUCUCAACAGGAAACCUUCCUUUUUCAGCAAAUCAUCGUAAAACUUGGUUUAACUUGCUCAUUAGAUUGAACUAGUCACAUUAUUUUUUUAACGUUUCCCCUAAUCUGGUUAAGAUGUUUCCUUUUCUCUUGUUUCAUCUGCUGUAGUUAUUCAUACAAGCUGGAGCAAUUCUCCACUCUGCUUCCAGGAAUCUGCUGUUGUUUGCAUUUUUCAUGCAAAAUUUCGUUGUGAAAGCUCAGAGGUCUUCAGCGAUUGGGUGAAUGCCAUGUGGCUUCUGAAGGAUGACCUCUUCCCUUCACAACCGCCCCAAGCCUUUCCACUGCUGCUUCUGCCGUAUCUCUUCCUGCAGAAGAUCUGUUACCGAUGAAAAGAUGGAAUCGCUGCACAGUGCCCUCUGGGUGAAGCCCUGAAAUCGGCCAGCGGAAGGACAGAAAGCAGACUUAAUUAGAUUGUGUUUUAUUAGGUACUGUGCAGGUUUCACAUUACAUCUAGAAUUAGCUGGGAUGAGCAGAAACAGAAUGUCAUUGCUCCGCAUUUCAGAAAAGAUAAACAGUGACCUGCCUGGAGCCUGAAGAGACACACAGUGAUUUUUUAAUGUACCAGAUCAGAUUCGGCAUAUGUUCAGAAUCAUGCUUUUCCUUAUUAUCUGUGCCCAAAUAAAGUAGUGGGAUUGCAUUCCCAACAAA
Molecule: long non-coding RNA, 1700 nt
Organism: Varanus komodoensis (Komodo dragon)
Lineage: Eukaryota; Metazoa; Chordata; Lepidosauria; Squamata; Varanidae
Exons: 2
Source: RefSeq, a predicted model, not a curated record